UUUCUUUCUUUCAGCACAUAUACUAAAAUUGGAACGAUACAGAAAAGAUUAGCAUGGCCCCUGCGAAAGGAUGACACGCAAAUUGGAGAGGCUGAUGUCUCCACU
Molecule: small nuclear RNA, 105 nt
Organism: Alligator mississippiensis (American alligator)
Lineage: Eukaryota; Metazoa; Chordata; Crocodylia; Alligatoridae
Source: Rfam